UAGGGAAUCUUCGGCAAUGGACGAAAGUCUGACCGAGCAACGCCGCGUGAGUGAAGAAGGUUUUCGGAUCGUAAAACUCUGUUGUUAGAGAAGAACAAGGACGUUAGUAACUGAACGUCCCCUGACGGUAUCUAACCAGAAAGCAACGGCUAACUACGUGCCAGCAGCCGCGGUAAUACGUAGGUGGCAAGCGUUGUCCGGAUUUAUUGGGCGUAAAGCGAGCGCAGGCGGUUUCUUAAGUCUGAUGUGAAAGCCCCCGGCUCAACCGGGGAGGGUCAUUGGAAACUGGGAGACUUGAGUGCAGAAGAGGAGAGUGGAAUUCCAUGUGUAUCGGUGAAAUGCGUAGAUAUAUGGAGGAACACCAGUGGCGAAGGCGGCUCUCUGGUCUGUAACUGACGCUGAGGCUCGAAAGCGUGGGGAGCAAACAGG
This 429-nucleotide ribosomal RNA is filed under the name Gemmatimonadota bacterium. Its description in RNAcentral is "Gemmatimonadetes bacterium partial 16S ribosomal RNA". It matches the Rfam family "Bacterial small subunit ribosomal RNA", at positions 355 to 776 of the family's 1533-position model. The record is from RNAcentral. Lineage: Bacteria; Pseudomonadati; Gemmatimonadota.